This 794-nucleotide ribosomal RNA is filed under the name uncultured microorganism. RNAcentral describes it as "bacterial SSU rRNA". It matches the Rfam family "Bacterial small subunit ribosomal RNA", at positions 8 to 797 of the family's 1533-position model. The record is from RNAcentral.
AGAGUUUGAUCCUGGCUCGGGAUGAACGCUAGCGGCAGGCUUAAUACAUGCAAGUCGAGGGGCAGCGCGGGUAGCAAUACCUGGCGGCGACCGGCAAACGGGUGCGGAACACGUACGCAACCUUCCUUUAAGUGGGGGAUAGCCCAGGGAAACUUGGAUUAAUACCCCUUAACAUUAUGAGAUGGCAUCAUUUUAUAAUUAAAGCUCCGGCGCUUAAAGAUGGGCGUGCGCCUGAUUAGGUAGUUGGCGGGGUAACAGCCCACCAAGCCUACGAUCAGUAACUGGUGUGAGAGCACGACCAGUCACACGGGCACUGAGACACGGGCCCGACUCCUACGGGAGGCAGCAGUAAGGAAUAUUGGUCAAUGGACGCAAGUCUGAACCAGCCAUGCCGCGUGGAGGAUGACGGCCCUCUGGGUUGUAAACUCCUUUUAUCUGGGAAGAAAUGCAGUUUUUUUAGACUGUUUGACGGUACCAGAGGAAUAAGCACCGGCUAACUCCGUGCCAGCAGCCGCGGUAAUACGGAGGGUGCAAGCGUUAUCCGGAUUCACUGGGUUUAAAGGGUGCGUAGGUGGAAUGGUAAGUCAGUGGUGAAAUCUCCAAGCUUAACUUGGAAACUGCCGUUGAUACUAUCAUUCUUGAAUUAUCUGGAGGUGAGCGGAAUAUGUCAUGUAGCGGUGAAAUGCUUAGAUAUGACAUAGAACACCGAUUGCGAAGGCAGCUUGCUACACGAUCAUUGACACUGAGGCACGAAAGCGUGGGGAUCAAACAGGAUUAGAUACCCCGGUAGUCCA